GAUACGGGACUCAUCCGAGGCCCCGUAAUCGGAAUGAGUACACUUUAAAUCCUUUAACGAGGAUCCAUUGGAGGGCAAGUCUGGUGUCAGCAGCCGCGGUAAUUCCAGCUCCAAUAGCGUAUAUUAAAGUUGUUGCGGUUAAAAAGCUCGUAGUUGAAUCUGUGUGCCACGCUGUCGGUUCACCGCUCGCGGUGUUUAACUGGCAUGAUUGUGGGACGUCCUACCGGUGGGCUUAGCUCCGUGAAAGCGGGGCGGUCCAACUAAUAUCCCAUCGCGGUGCUCUUCAUUGAGUGUCGAGGUGGGCCGGUACGUUUACUUUGAACAAAUUAGAGUGCUUAAAGCAGGCUACUUUCGCCUGAAUACUGUGUGCAUGGAAUAAUGGAAUAGGACCUCGGUUCUAUUUUGUUGGUUUUCGGAACCCCGAGGUAAUGAUUAAUAGGGACAGAUGGGGGCAUUCGUAUUGCGACGUUAGAGGUGAAAUUCUUGGAUCGUCGCAAGACGAACAGAAGCGAAAGCAUUUGCCAAAAAUGUUUUCAUUAAUCAAGAACGAAAGUUAGAGGUUCGAAGGCGAUCAGAUACCGCCCUAGUUCUAACCAUAAACGAUGCCAGCUAGCGAUCCGCCGAAGUUCCUCCGAUGACUCGGCGGGCAGCUUCCGGGAAACCAAAGCUUUUGGGUUCCGGGGGAAGUAUGGUUGCAAAGCUGAAACUUAAAGGAAU
This 717-nucleotide ribosomal RNA is filed under the name Doryctes anatolikus. RNAcentral's name for it is "SSU rRNA". It matches the Rfam family "Eukaryotic small subunit ribosomal RNA", at positions 482 to 1153 of the family's 1831-position model. The record is from RNAcentral. Lineage: Eukaryota; Metazoa; Arthropoda; Insecta; Hymenoptera; Braconidae.